This 1015-nucleotide ribosomal RNA is filed under the name uncultured Bacillota bacterium. Its description in RNAcentral is "bacterial SSU rRNA". It matches the Rfam family "Bacterial small subunit ribosomal RNA", at positions 467 to 1482 of the family's 1533-position model. The record is from RNAcentral. Lineage: Bacteria; Bacillati; Bacillota.
AACUGACGGUACCCAGCAGAAUAAGCCCCGGCUAACUUCGUGCCCAGCAGCCGCGGUAAUACGUAGGGGGCAAGCGUUAUCCGGAAUUACUGGGUGUAAAGGGUGAGUAGGCGGUUGUAUAAGUCAUAUGUGAAAGCCCGAGGCUCAACCUCGGGACUGCAUAAGAAACUGUAUAACUAGAGUACAGGAGAGGUAAGCGGAAUUCCUAGUGUAGCGGUGAAAUGCGUAGAUAUUAGGAAGAACACCAGUGGCGAAGGCGGCUUACUGGACUGUAACUGACGCUGAGACACGAAAGCGUGGGGAGCGAACAGGAUUAGAUACCCUGGUAGUCCACGCCGUAAACGAUGAGUGCUAGGUGUCGGGUCGAGAGAUUCGGUGCCGCAGCUAACGCAAUAAGCACUCCACCUGGGGAGUACGGUCGCAAGAUUGAAACUCAAAGGAAUUGACGGGGGCCCGCACAAGCGGUGGAGCAUGUGGUUUAAUUCGAAGCAACGCGAAGAACCUUACCAAGGCUUGACAUACACAUGAGUAAUGUGGAAACACAUUAGUCCUUCGGGACAUGUGAACAGGUGGUGCAUGGUUGUCGUCAGCUCGUGUCGUGAGAUGUUGGGUUAAGUCCCGCAACGAGCGCAACCCUUGUCCUUAGUAGCCAGCAUUUAGGGUGGGCACACUAGGGAGACUGCCGUGGAUAACACGGAGGAAGGUGGGGAUGAGGUCAAAUCAUCAUGCCCCUUACGUCUUGGGCAACACACGUGCUACAAUGGGCGCUACAAAGGGAAGCGAGACAGUGAUGUGGAGCAAACCCCAAAAAGGCGUCCUCAGUUCGGAUUGUAGUCUGCAACUCGACUACAUGAAGUUGGAAUCGCUAGUAAUCGCGAAUCAGAAUGUCGCGGUGAAUACGUUCUCGGGCCUUGUACACACCGCCCGUCACACCACGGGAGUUGGAAGCGCCCGAAGUCUGUGACCCAACCAUUUAUGGAGGGAGCAGCCUAAGGUGAAGUCAGCGACUGGGGUG